AGAGGCCACUGCUAUCAGAGUUCGAUUAAGCCAUGCGAGUCGAGAGGUGCAAGACCUCGGCAUACUGCUCAGUAACACGUGGACAACCUACCCUACAGAAGGGGAUAACCCCGGGAAACUGGGGAUAAUACCCUAUAGACUAUGGAUGCUGGAAUGCUCUGUAGCCGAAAGGUCCGCCGCUGUAGGAUGGGUCUGCGGCCGAUUAGGUUGUUGUUGGGGUAACGGCCCAACAAGCCUGUAAUCGGUACGGGUUGUGGGAGCAAGAGCCCGGAGAUGGAUUCUGAGACACGAAUCCAGGCCCUACGGGGCGCAGCAGGCGCGAAAACUUUGCAAUGCGGGAAACCGUGACAAGGGAACUCUGAGUGCCCGUAAAAAUCGGGCUGUCCAUCAGUUUAAACAA
Molecule: ribosomal RNA, 400 nt
Filed under: uncultured archaeon
Lineage: Archaea
Description: bacterial SSU rRNA
Rfam family: Archaeal small subunit ribosomal RNA
Source: RNAcentral